This 1331-nucleotide ribosomal RNA is filed under the name metagenome. RNAcentral describes it as "bacterial SSU rRNA". It matches the Rfam family "Bacterial small subunit ribosomal RNA", at positions 8 to 1386 of the family's 1533-position model. The record is from RNAcentral.
AGAGUUUGAUCCUGGCUCAGGAUGAACGCUGGCGGCGUGCUUAACACAUGCAAGUCGAACGAGCCUUCGGGCUAGUGGCGGACGGGUGAGUAACGCGUGAGAAUCUGCCCUCAGGAGGGGGAUAACGGCUGGAAACGGCCGCUAAUACCCCAUAUGCCGCGAGGUGAAACGAGUUUUCGCCUGAGGAUGAGCUCGCGUCUGAUUAGCUAGUUGGUGGGGUAAGAGCCUACCAAGGCAUCGAUCAGUAGCUGGUCUGAGAGGAUGAUCAGCCACACUGGGACUGAGACACGGCCCAGACUCCUACGGGAGGCAGCAGUGGGGAAUUUUCCGCAAUGGGCGCAAGCCUGACGGAGCAACGCCGCGUGAGGGAUGAAGGCCUCUGGGCUGUAAACCUCUUUUCUCAAGGAAGAAGAACUGACGGUACUUGAGGAAUAAGCCACGGCUAAUUCCGUGCCAGCAGCCGCGGUAAUACGGGAGUGGCAAGCGUUAUCCGGAAUUAUUGGGCGUAAAGCGUCCGCAGGCGGUCUUGAAAGUCUGUUGUUAAAGCGUGGAGCUCAACUCCAUUUCAGCAAUGGAAACUAGAAGACUAGAGUGUGGUAGGGGCAGAGGGAAUUCCCGGUGUAGCGGUGAAAUGCGUAGAUAUCGGGAAGAACACCAGUGGCGAAGGCGCUCUGCUGGGCCAUAACUGACGCUCAUGGACGAAAGCCAGGGGAGCGAAAGGGAUUAGAUACCCCUGUAGUCCUGGCCGUAAACGAUGAACACUAGGUGUCGGGGGAAUCGACCCCCUCGGUGUCGUAGCUAACGCGUUAAGUGUUCCGCCUGGGGAGUACGCACGCAAGUGUGAAACUCAAAGGAAUUGACGGGGGCCCGCACAAGCGGUGGAGUAUGUGGUUUAAUUCGAUGCAACGCGAAGAACCUUACCAGGGUUUGACAUCCUGCGAAUCUUUUGGAAACAGAAGAGUGCCUUCGGGAGCGCAGAGACAGGUGGUGCAUGGCUGUCGUCAGCUCGUGUCGUGAGAUGUUGGGUUAAGUCCCGCAACGAGCGCAACCCACGUCUUUAGUUGCCAGCAUUCAGUUGGGCACUCUAGAGAGACCGCCGGUGAUAAGCCGGAGGAAGGUGUGGAUGACGUCAAGUCAUCAUGCCCCUUACAUCCUGGGCUACACACGUACUACAAUGCUACGGACAAAGGGCAGCAAACUCGCGAGAGCUAGCAAAUCCCAUAAACCGUGGCUCAGUUCAGAUCGUAGGCUGCAACUCGCCUACGUGAAGGAGGAAUCGCUAGUAAUCGCAGGUCAGCAUACUGCGGUGAAUACGUUCCCGGGCCUUGUAC